CUAGACGGCAUUCUCUGAACUUGAGGAGCCCUCAGAGUGUAUAAAAGCACCUAUACAAUCUGUUGCUUAGAAGGAAUUUCAAAGAUGACAAACUUCCACUGAUGCUACCAAUGGAACAAUCCUGAUCUUGAUGAAAAAUUUUGUAGUAAGAUAUAUAUCAGUCACAGUGGUCUCAAAGAGCAAUAUGGACAGGGUGAAACAAUUAAUUAUGGGGUUUAUUACUGAAAUGAAUAUUCAUGUGAGAUAGUCUUAGGGAAUUUACUGGAUACAGGUAUCUACUGUUUAGUUUGGGGUUUUUUUUGUUAAAUAUUUGAUCUAUUCCAAAUAAUUGAAUACAGCAAUCCAAAAUUCAGAAUUCUAAUAUCCCUUGUAAAGAAACAGUUCUGCAAGUUUGAAAAGUACUUCCUUGCAUACUACACUAAGUUCCUAUACCAUGCUACUGGCAUAAUUUUCAUCAAUCUUUUCUAUGAAGAAAGGGUGAUAAGAAAACAGUUUAUGGUUGGGGCAGGGGGGACGGCUAGUGUUAGUCUCAUGUGGUUAAAGCAUUGGUUUUGAUCUUUAGAAGAAAUAAGUAACAGCUAAUGCUAAUUGAGCAUUUAAUGGCCCUAUGAAUAUCAAGAAUUUAAAGAUCUACUUAUGCAUACUGAUACUGCUAAUGACAGAAUAUUCAUGCAUUCAUCAUGAAAAAAAUCAACCCUGAGAAAAUACCUUCUCCACUCCAAAUUUAAAAUUAUUUUUAAAUAAAUAGUUUCCCAGUGAGGACUACUACUCUACUCUAUAGUAACUGGAGGAAAAAAAAAAAAAAUCUGUUUAUUCUGCCUAAAGGGGCAGAGCAAGGGGGUCUUGCAUAUUUUGACAACACUCUUCUAGGCUUUCAGAUAUACAACUUUCAUCUGAAAUUAAUUUUAACUCAGUUUUGGGGGGGGAUUCCAAAUUUUUUUUGUCAACUACAAUAAUCUUGUAUGACUUGUCACUGUCUAGUUAUCAGUCCUUAUUCUCAAAGCUUUCUGUAAUAAAGUAUUUAGUCAGGAAACUGCUUGGACAUCUAUCAACAUAAAAUUAUAUUAUUAUUGCUCUUGAUAAUAAUAAUGAUAUUUUAAAAUAGGUAGAUAUUAUAAUUUCAUUCAUUUUAAUAUAGUCUUUUUCUGAGUAGUGGAAAUUAGCACAGUUGGACUUUGCCCAAGAAUAAAAAACCUGCCACUUCCUGCAUUUAGUGAUUUUUUAAAAAAUCGUCAUUUUUAAACCUCAGAAUAGAGCAGUUCUGUGAGUUUACUCAGGCUAUACACUUUAUCACAUAGGGCUUACAGUAAGGAUCUACAAUUUAGAAAUGUCAGAUGGGUAACACUGCUGCCUUUCCAGAGGUUACUACUGAAGAUAAUAUCAGUGCAGCAGUAAUUAUCCUCAGGAUUUUGUGUGGCCUUUCUGAAGUGUACCAAUUAGUGACACUUCAGCCUGAAAAGAGGUGGAACUCCGAUCUGGCAAAUUAACUUGUUGCCAGACAAUAGGAAAUUGUUUGUAUUUCCUGGUCAGUUACAGACUUCCUUAGGUAAUUGAGAUUCUUAUCAAAUGUCUGAAGUCUGCACCAAAGCUACUUUGGUGGGCUUGGGAAAGGAAAAAUAUAACUUGGAGCUUCUGAAUUUACUCUUUGCUCUGAGAUGAAUUGUCUCUGAUAUGAAACUCAGGACAUUAAGCAUGCGUUCAGAGACUAUAUUCAGGAAGCAAUCAAGACAGUCAUUUGUGGAGGUAUCUCUGAAGGUAUCUACUCAUUUUUCAGCUGUGAUUAAAAAUUAGAUACAAUGCUGGCGUUCAUAUCAGAGAUAUUUCAUCUCAGAGCAAAGAGUAAAUGCCUGCCCUAGGAUGGCUGUGUUCAGUUCAGGCCUCUCCAUCUCAAAACUACGCAAGAAAUGUAAAAGACAUUUAGAGAUAUGAAUCAGGGCUCUGCUUGACACACAGAGAUGGAAUAAUAUCGGCUGACUGACAAAGUUAUCAUCUCUAUCUGUCUGUAGCACCGACGGUGCACGGUCAGCUCAGAUGCUCAUGAAUCAGCUGUUUUACAACACAGCAGCAGUUUAAAGUAAAACAUAAGCUUGGCCAUCCUAUAACUUCUCUGCUUGUCAGUCAGAUCUUUCAAACUAAUUAGGAGCAUAUGAAACUCCCGUGUGAAGCAAGAUUGAAAAGAUCAAGACUCCUUGCUUGAUAAGGAGUGGCACAAGUGACAAAUGAAAGAGAACAUGGCACAAUUAUACAUGGUAGUGAAUACAGAGAGACAUAAACAUGGAUGUUACCCCUUCUGACCAAAGGAAAGCUGAGGAUGGCCUGAUGACAGGGAAAGGUGGCUGUUGCAGAGAGAGGGAAGGAAACACCUUGCCCUGCAAAAGCAAACACAGAAGAUGACACAGGAAGUGGAGAGUGACACAGGAACAGAACUUGUUGAUCAUCAUUGUUUUGAGGGCCCAGGGAGAUUCAGAAGAAAAGAUUGGAAAUAUAUGUAGAAAACAACAAAAAUAACAUUGGUCAUUAAGUUAAUAAGUUAAUAAGCUAAU
Long non-coding RNA from Harpia harpyja (harpy eagle), 2543 nucleotides. RefSeq lists it as uncharacterized. The transcript has 3 exons. The record is from RefSeq and is a predicted model, not a curated record. NCBI's taxonomy places the organism in Eukaryota, Metazoa, Chordata, Aves, Accipitriformes, Accipitridae.